UCUUCUCCAGCUUAACAAACAGCUCCAUGAAAUGCAAGAAAAGAAGAGUUGUGACCUACAGAUUUGGCAAACUUAGCUGUUGCUAUUUCAGAAGAUAAAAGUGUGCAUCCAUAAGGACAAGACCUGCAAAUGGAGAGAGCGUCUCUGAGCACACUCCCUUAAUGCUGAUUUCUGCACUGGUACCAAAGCUGCAGUAAACCUGAGAGGUGAACCUGUCCUCCAUUGGAGCCUGUGGGAUUUUGCCCACUGCAAUGAAAACAAUUGAAAAGGGCACUGUAAGGAACACUAUGCUGUAAAAAUCAUAUGCUUGCUGUUCUCAGUUUUGUACCUCUCACUGGUGAUUAAAAUGAAAGACUACAAAGACUCACAUCCUGUCUUUCAUUAAGUGUUCCACUGGCUUGCUGAGCAUUGCAGAAGAGGUACAGCAUUGCCUCAGUACUGUGCCAAGUUUUUCCUCUUUGAAGAUAUCAUUAAAAACACCUCAAAGUUCCUCUGCCUCACACAAUGUUGUUUUCAGGAAUUGCUUGAGGUAAGCAGAAAUGUAACUUGGUGUUAUAAGGUGAGUCAUUAGGAAAUGAGAAAAGAGAUGAAUUAAUGUGCUGUCCAUGAAAUUAGCAUUCUGAUAAUUGUUUGGUUUGUAAUUAUAUUGGGUUUAAUCUAACAAUAAUACUAAGAAAUUGCGGGUUUUAAAACCAUCCUUUGUUUGGGGGAAAAUUUUAAUUUCUUUAAAACAAUUCAUUUGCAUCUAUGCUUUUUUAAGUUUCUUUUUUUUUUUUU
RNAcentral lists this long non-coding RNA (777 nucleotides) under Zonotrichia albicollis (white-throated sparrow). RNAcentral's name for it is "lncRNA (ENSZALG00000001244.1)". Lineage: Eukaryota; Metazoa; Chordata; Aves; Passeriformes; Passerellidae. The record is from RNAcentral.